GAUGAAGAACGCAGCGAAAUGCGAUAAGUAAUGCGAAUUGCAGAAUCCGUGAAUCAUCGAAUCUUUGAACGCACAUUGCGCCCCUUGGUAUUCCUUGGGGCAUGCCUGUUCGAGCGUCAUCUAAACCUUCAAGCCCUGCUUGGUGUUGGGUGCCUGUCCCGCCCCCGCGCGUGGACUCACCUCAAAUCCAUUGGCGGCCCCCGCGUCGGCCACGAGCGCAGCAGAAACGCGAACUCGUGGGCCCGUCCGGGCGGCUCCCAGAAGCUACACCCACCCCUUUUGACCUCGGAUCAGGUAGGGAUACCCGCUGAACUUAAGCAUAUCAAUAAGCGGAGGA
This 337-nucleotide unclassified non-coding RNA is filed under the name soil metagenome. RNAcentral describes it as "partial contains 5.8S ribosomal RNA, internal transcribed spacer 2, and large subunit ribosomal RNA". The stretch from base 1 to 119 matches the Rfam family "5.8S ribosomal RNA", at positions 35 to 154 of the family's 154-position model. The record is from RNAcentral.